Marmota marmota marmota (Alpine marmot) is the source of this 107-nucleotide small nuclear RNA. NCBI's taxonomy places the organism in Eukaryota, Metazoa, Chordata, Mammalia, Rodentia, Sciuridae. The record is from Ensembl.
GUGCUCCCUUUGGCAGCACAUAUAUUAGACUUUGGAAAAUACAGAGAAGAUUAUCAUGGCUACUCCAUAAGGAUAGCACACAAAUUUGUGAAGUGUUCCAUAUUUUU